RNAcentral lists this ribosomal RNA (383 nucleotides) under Strombidium sp. RNAcentral's name for it is "partial small subunit ribosomal RNA". It matches the Rfam family "Eukaryotic small subunit ribosomal RNA", at positions 582 to 975 of the family's 1831-position model. Lineage: Eukaryota; Ciliophora; Spirotrichea; Strombidiidae. The record is from RNAcentral.
AUUCCAGCUCCAAUAGCGUAUAUUAAAGUUGUUGCAGUUAAAAAGCUCGUAGUUGGAUUUCUGGGAGGGUGCCAAUGUCCGUCGUCGUACGUGUUGCAGCGGCGCCCUUCCAUCCUUCUGUUAACGACUUUGGGCAUUCACUUGCCGGAGUCGGGCUCAGAUAUUUUACCUUGAGAAAAUUAGAGUGUUUCAGGCAGGCUAGGCCGGAAUACAUUAGCAUGGAAUAAUGGAAUAGGACUACGGUCUCUUUGUUGGUUUGAGGGACUGCAGUAAUGAUUAAUAGGGAUAGUUGGGGGCAUUAGUAUUUAAUUGUCAGAGGUGAAAUUCUUGGAUUUAUGAAAGACGAACUUCUGCGAAAGCAUUUACCAAAGAUGUUUUCAUUG